Molecule: long non-coding RNA, 909 nt
Organism: Panthera uncia (snow leopard)
Lineage: Eukaryota; Metazoa; Chordata; Mammalia; Carnivora; Felidae
Exons: 4
Source: RefSeq, a predicted model, not a curated record
CUUUGUGAAGUACACAGAAGAGACAAUUUUCUGCUUGGGGAUAAAGUUCAGAAGGUGGAACUGGGUGGUGCGGUGCUGGCUGCCUGCCAGCUGUGAACAAGGAACCAGAAUACCUGGAAUGUGGGCCUCCUGGGAUGUCUCUGCAGAGUCUCCCGAUGUCAUGGACUAUCAUUUGCCAACCACCCUUCUUCUAGGAGAUUUCAUGGAGCUCUUCCUUCUCUAGGGUCCGGGGAUCUGAAGCCAUGGUUAAGAAGGAGCAGGCCUUCCUGAAGGUUGGGUCUCAAUAUGGGGUCCAGAAGGGGCACCUCCUAGAAACCAGAAAUGUUUCUCUCAGGAUGGGUCAGAGGCCCAAAUACAGGCCUGUGGAUCACCAAAACCCAAGAGCUUUCCACUCCUGACUCCCUGCAAAGCCCAAGAUUCAUAGCUACCUCUUCGAAAGUUUUGAAAAAAGAGGAUUUUCUUGUCUCAAAGUUCCCUCUGGCCCGGAGGCUGUUGAAUGAGGACUCUUUUCAGAGUGAAAGAAGGAAGUGGGGGUUGGAAGAGUGACUGAAGAUGAAGCUGGAAAGGUAGAACCUGAUCAUGAAGAGUUUAUGUACCAUGGCCAAGAGUUUGAAUCUGACUCCAAGAGCAAGGGAGCCAGAGGAAGCCUGCAGGCAAAAGUGACAUGAUGGCAUUUGUGUGUUGGAAAGAUAACUGGUGGCAACAAAGACAGUGGAGAAGGUCUGUGACUUUGGUGGUGGUGAUGGAGCUGGACUAGAUGGGAAAGCCAUUUUGGAAGAAAUGAUGCAAUAUGGCGGCUAAUGAGAUGGGAGGGGAGAGGGUGCUGUCAGAAAAGGCAACAUGCAUAUGUACAGCUGUUAACGUGCUUUCCCAUAAAUCUACUUACCUGACUCUCAUAAUAGUUUUCUG